Molecule: ribosomal RNA, 551 nt
Filed under: uncultured Diversisporaceae
Lineage: Eukaryota; Fungi; Glomeromycota; Glomeromycetes; Diversisporales
Description: SSU rRNA
Rfam family: Eukaryotic small subunit ribosomal RNA
Source: RNAcentral
UUGGAGGGCAAGUCUGGUGCCAGCAGCCGCGGUAAUUCCAGCUCCAAUAGCGUAUAUUAAAGUUGUUGCAGUUAAAAAGCUCGUAGUUGAACUUCGGGGUCUACCCAUUGGUCAGGCUUAUUUGUCUGUACUGGUGAGAUGGAUCUCUACCUUCUGAGGUACUUUCAUGUCAUUUAUUUGGUGUGAUGGGAAAUCAGGACUGUUACUUUGAAAAAAUUAGAGUGUUUAAAGCAGACUAUCGUCUGAAUACAUUAGCAUGGAAUAAUGAAAUAGGACGGACUGAUUCUAUUUCGUUGGUUUCUAGGAUCACCGUAAUGAUUAAUAGGGAUAGUUGGGGGCAUUAGUAUUCAAUUGUCAGAGGUGAAAUUCUUGGAUUUAUUGAAGACUAACUACUGCGAAAGCAUUUGCCAAGGAUGUUUUCAUUAAUCAAGAACGAAAGUUAGGGGAUCGAAGACGAUCAGAUACCGUCGUAGUCUUAACCAUAAACUAUGCCGACUAGGGAUCGGACGAAGUUAAUUUUAUAAUGACGCGUUCGGCGCCUUACGGGAAAC